AAAUCACCUGAUCACCAAGUGGAAAAAUGGCUUGUAGAGCAGCACUCAAUGUGUUAAGUCCAGGAUUUGUAGCUCAGCUAAUGAAUCAAAGCAGGGAGCCCCGGCCCCAGAACUCUCAAUCUAAUGCUGGAUCUUGUAUUUCCGUUCAAGUCUUGUCCACGUCCAGGUCAGGACCGGUGACCGUGCAUGACAGCAAGCCAAGUCCAUCACAGUUGGGUAUUUUGAGACCAGCAAAGUUUGGUUAGUUACCUCUGACGAUAUAAAAGUUAUGUACAAGAAGUUUCCGAGUGGCUGUGCAAUAACUUUGUGGUGUGAUGAGGCUGUUGAACUAGAGCCGCCACCAGCGAAGAAAAAAAAGCGAGAUAGUGACAAGGGGAGUGGGAAGAGACAGGAACAGGAAGAAGAUGUGGAGAGCUAUUACAAAACUCUUACUAACAAGCAUAAAGAGUUGUAUCCUUUACAAAAAUGCGAUGUGAGCAGCACACGUGUGGCACAUACUAGCAGCACACGUGCACUCACAUCUUGCACAUAUCUGGCAAUUGAUAAGCAUGUGUGCUGCUGGCGUGCUGCAUGGUGUAUUUUGGACAUAGGCGUGGGACGAGUGCAGGAUAGAUGCUUUUGUUAGAGCUGUGGUACGUGUGCUGCACGUGUGUGUAGCCGCUUGUGUGCUGCUCGUAUUUUAAGCUUGUGUGCUGCACACGGUUUAUAGCAUGUGUGCAGCACACAUGUAAUGCACGCAUGCUACAUACAUGCCUAACAUGAUUGGUGCUUUCAUAUCGCACGUAUAUUACAUAUUGAGCAUGCAUGAUACUCAUAUCCUGCAUAUGUGCACCAUGCGUGUAAUACAAAUGGUGCACGCAUGCUACAUACAUGCCUAAUAUGAUUGGUGCUUUCAUAUUGCACGUAUAUGACACGUAUUUAGCGUGCAUGAUACUCAUAUCCUGCAUACAUACCAUUUGAGAAAGUUGUCACCAUGGAAACCACAUAUACAUGAUAUUAUUGGAUGAUAUACUGUGUAUACAUGAGUUCAGUCAGUUGUAACUGCAGAUGCAGGUGCAGAGCUCGGGCCUCUCCGAGCCCCACCCCACUGCAAGCGCUGCAACUGCGUUAAAUUUGCCAUUAUUGAUUGCAGUAUCGGGGUAGAGAUUUGUUUGAAGAUAACCUGUAUGACGAUAAAAUACAUUCUUUAAUUAAUGAAAACUUGUAUUUACUCGAUCUGUAGAUAGUGUCAAAGCUAGCCUUUUAGGGCACCCAAACCUUCUUUUCUCAUAGGGGUAUUUUUGGCCCCCACUUUGCCAACAGCACACAUCUGGGCGAGCUCCAUAUCGUCGAACACCAUCGCCAAUAUUUUUCUCUAAGUGUAGCCCGAGCUACUAAGGCACUUUAGAGUUGCCUGUUGCCCUGCACUUAGGGAUAGUGACGCUCUCCUAUAAUGAACAAAUCAUGGGUUACAUUCAAUUCAAAAUUCAUGCAAGAGAUGCAUGCAUGAUCAUGAGGCGUUUAUAAUUAUAUUGUUAAUAUAAUUAUAAUUACCGGUUGAGUGAGUUGAUCCACGUUUUUCUAGCUCUUCUACUCGCUCUGUUAAUUUUGUGACGAUGGAGAGUAACAUCGUUUGACUCGACUGACUUUCCCCCAAGCUAAACUGCUCUGAGGCUGUAGUAUCGAUGUUGUUGAAGUGCUGGUGACUUUCCCCCAAGCUAAACUGCUCUGAGGCUGUAGUAUCGAUGUUGUUGAAGUGCUGGGUUGUAUGGUGGAUAGCCACGGUAAAAUCUUGGUUCUUUGUCACGUAGUGAAAUAUCUCUUUCAAUAUCUCUUUCACUCUGAUCGCUGUCACUACUGUUUCCACUUUCGUUUUCGACAACUCUUCGAAUUUCAGCGACUUUUCAGUAGUUCUUUUUGACAGGUCUUUUGAAGCCUUCUCAGCACGUUUUUUUCUCUUCUCUUCAAUGGCUGAAGGAACUUCAACUAUCGGUAUGUUGUUUGGUUUUUUAGUUAGCUCUUUAGCUGUUGUUAUGAGUUCUUUUUUCCACCUGUGUAUAUUAAUUAAUUAUUAUUAUUACCCUCAAAUUACUAAUUUUGUACCAUAACUAUGUCAUUGUUCACUAUACAUGUGUGACAUAUACAAUGUACCAUUGUUUACUAUGUGCUACAUGCAUGAACAGCUAGGAAGCCAAAUACAAAAUAGUACUAAACAAACAUACAAACUCACCAAUUUCAAGAUUAAGAGCUUCAUAAGUUUUCUUUUGGAAAUUUGCCUGAACUAGCUCUCCCUUGGAGCAGCUUGAACCUUUUACUAUGCAAGUGACAGGUAAAACACUUAAUGUUUUGUCCACUGUCCACUCUAAAAGAGCAAAGCUGUAAGAAACCUUCGAUAGAUAUAGCUAUAGCUAGCUCGCUAUGCAAGAGAUUCAAAAUUGAGACAGCUGCAAGCUCAAAAGAAGUGCAGCUGCCUUGCUUGCAUGAUACAGUUACCAUGCAUACAUAUGUACAUAAUGUACAUAGUUAUUAUGUCACUGCACACCUUCAAAAAACAGAGACUGCAAGCUAGCUACGUAUAUAUAGCUACACUGUAGAUAGACAUGGAAAACGCUCCACAAACAAAGAAAAGGCCACGAUACAACUUGUACCUUAAGGAUGACAAUCCUCUUGAAGGAAUGCCCCGAACCACAAAGAAAUGGCUUGGCCUUAGUGAAAAUGGUAAAUUCUGAUAUAAAAUAAUUAUGACUGACUUUUUUAUGCACUAUAAUUUAUGCGACGCAGCGUAAUAGUUAUCACUUUCCCACUCCCAAUACUAUAUAGCUGAUUGCUGCUGCAAUAUCAUCAGAAAGUGAUCACGACGACGAAAAACGCAAUUGACGCAGCAGAAACAGCUUCAAAUAUUGUUCCCACACAAGCAACCGAGGUUGAUACCGCUGAGUCUGACACUGUUCGCAUACAAACAUCUGAGCUCGAGCAAGUUCAUGAGACAGAAACUGAACCCCAUGGCAGGUGUUGAUAAAGCUUCCAGUAAUGCUGAAACGAAAACCGCUAAUCUCGAUGAAGCCCUCUAUCCAGGUACCUCAAUCUCACUACACGUAGCAUUGGUACUUAUUCUAGCUUUUGUGAUUAAUCACAAAAAUUAAUAUCAAAUGAAGCUCUGGUGAAUGCACUGAUACUUCCAUCGAAUAUCUUCCCAACAAGUCUCUACAAGUUUUACAAGUACCUGAACAUAAAACAAUCUGACAUCAUUCGUUGUCCGUCCUGUCAGAAUCCUAUUGACGAACCUGACGGUGUAAGAUCAUGCCCAAAUUUGGUUUGUGACCAGGUGUUCAGUUCCAUUGCUGAUAUAUCGUAUUUUGUUCGACUUCCUUUGGAGAAACAAGUUCAAGAAAAAUACAGCCAGCCCGGAUUUCUUCAAAGGGUCAGGCAUAGAUUUACACGUCCAAGACCAGAGCAAGACCAGAGAAAGGUAAGGUUUGGCUAAGGAAAAUUUUUGUCUAAGGCAUCUAAUAUCUCAUUGCUCUGGAAUACUGAUGGUGUUCCAGUAUUUAAAUCAUCACUCUUCUUUGUAAUAAGUGAACUUCCUUACACGCUCAGAAUGAAAUGGCAAAACAUCAUCUUAGCAGGAAUGUGGUUUAGUUCUAUUAAGCAAAAUAUGAAGUUGUUUUUGAGGCCAUUCCAAAAGACAUUGUCGAUACUACGGUAUAGUAGUGAAAGCAUAUGGCAAGUCAACGUCGUUCUCUUAGCUGGUACAUGUGACCUACCGGCUAAAAUGCAUCGUUUAAAACUUCAAUGGAGCUGUUCAAAAUGCCGGAAAUACGUUUACAAUAGGACCUAACAGGAGAACACAUGUAUAUCCAUACAAUGAAGGAGAUCCGUCUGGGCCAAUCAGGACGACACCAUUGAAGAUGCAAAGUACCUAACGGAAACCGGAAAAACUCGACACGGAGUGCUUGGACCAUCUUGAUAUAACUGCUUACACAAUUUUGAUAGCCUCUACACAGGCUCUCCUUUUUCUGUUCUUUAUCACAAUCGUUCAAUAAGAUAAAA
Long non-coding RNA from Halichondria panicea, 4029 nucleotides. RefSeq lists it as uncharacterized. The transcript is spliced from 2 exons. NCBI's taxonomy places the organism in Eukaryota, Metazoa, Porifera, Demospongiae, Suberitida, Halichondriidae. The record is from RefSeq and is a predicted model, not a curated record.